RNAcentral lists this ribosomal RNA (429 nucleotides) under Gemmatimonadota bacterium. RNAcentral describes it as "Gemmatimonadetes bacterium partial 16S ribosomal RNA". It matches the Rfam family "Bacterial small subunit ribosomal RNA", at positions 355 to 776 of the family's 1533-position model. Lineage: Bacteria; Pseudomonadati; Gemmatimonadota. The record is from RNAcentral.
UAGGGAAUCUUCGGCAAUGGACGAAAGUCUGACCGAGCAACGCCGCGUGAGUGAAGAAGGUUUUCGGAUCGUAAAACUCUGUUGUUAGAGAAGAACAAGGACGUUAGUAACUGAACGUCCCCUGACGGUAUCUAACCAGAAAGCCACGGCUAACUACGUGCCAGCAGCCGCGGUAAUACGUAGGUGGCAAGCGUUGUCCGGAUUUAUUGGGCGUAAAGCGAGCGCAGGCGGUUUCUUAAGUCUGAUGUGAAAGCCCCCGGCUCAACCGGGGAGGGUCAUUGGAAACUGGGAGACUUGAGUGCAGAAGAGGAGAGUGGAAUUCUAUGUGUAGCGGUGAAAUGCGUAGAUAUAUGGAGGAACACCAGUGGCGAAGGCGGCUCUCUGGUCUGUAACUGACGCUGAGGCUCGAAAGCGUGGGGAGCAAACAGG